This 303-nucleotide ribosomal RNA is filed under the name uncultured bacterium. RNAcentral's name for it is "bacterial SSU rRNA". It matches the Rfam family "Bacterial small subunit ribosomal RNA", at positions 30 to 334 of the family's 1533-position model. The record is from RNAcentral.
AUUGAACGCUGGCGGCAGGCCUAACACAUGCAAGUCGAGCGGUAACAGAUCCAGCUUGUUGGAUGCUGACGAGCGGCGGACGGGUGAGUAAUGCAUAGGAAUCUGCCCGAUAGUGGGGGAUAACCUGGGGGAAACCCAGGCUAAUACCGCAUACGUCCUACGGGAGAAAGGGGGCUCCGGCUCCCGUUAUGGGAUGAGCCUAUGUCGGAUUAGCUAGUUGGUGAGGUAACGGCUCACCAAGGCCACGAUCCGUAGCUGGUCUGAGAGGAUGAUCAGCCACAUCGGGACUGAGACACGGCCCGA